GCUUCUGGCAGCCGCGCGGAUCCGGGGGCGGCGGGGCGGGACUGCUGCGGUCUCUGGGGGUGCUUUGGGGCUUCUGUGCCUAGUCUGCAAUCUGUUAGUGGGGUUAUAUUUUAAUAAAAGAGCUUGUGUGUCCGAAGGGGAUUUGCCAAGAACCAAACUCACCCUUCUGGGAGGGAGUUGCCAGAUGGCGGGAACAGGCGGCGUAAACCUUACCAGACGUGAGCCCAGGCUGCUCAAGUGUCAUUCGCGUCUUGAAGCUCUUGCCCGCCUCCCUUUGCAAGCGCGUCUAAUGCCAACUCUACCUUGCCCUUUGCUAAACCAGCCCUCUAAUGUGUUAUCGUGCCUCACGUCAGACAAUGGCUGGGCCUGUCUCUCUUUCCCCUUGGUUCUGUCCUCUGCCCUUCUCUUAAGCCAGAAGAACAAAACACUCCUUAGAAUCGCUGGAGGAUCUCAUUUCCACCACAUUCCCGUGUC
RNAcentral lists this long non-coding RNA (474 nucleotides) under Homo sapiens (human). RNAcentral's name for it is "non-protein coding lnc-EZR-4:1". The record is from RNAcentral. Lineage: Eukaryota; Metazoa; Chordata; Mammalia; Primates; Hominidae.